RNAcentral lists this ribosomal RNA (253 nucleotides) under uncultured bacterium. RNAcentral's name for it is "partial 16S ribosomal RNA". It matches the Rfam family "Bacterial small subunit ribosomal RNA", at positions 524 to 776 of the family's 1533-position model. The record is from RNAcentral.
UACGUAGGGGGCAAGCGUUGUCCGGAAUUAUUGGGCGUAAAGAGCGUGUAGGCGGCCAGAUAAGUCCGCUGUGAAAUCUCGAGGCUCAACUUCGAGCUGUCGGUGGAAACUAUCUGGCUAGAGUCCGGAAGAGGAGAAUGGAAUUCCUGGUGUAGCGGUGAAAUGCGCAGAUAUCAGGAGGAACACCGGUGGCGAAGGCGGAUCUCUGGGCCUUACCUGACGCUCAGGCACGAAAGCUAGGGGAGCGAACAGG